Non-coding RNA from Camelus ferus (Wild Bactrian camel), 73 nucleotides. NCBI's taxonomy places the organism in Eukaryota, Metazoa, Chordata, Mammalia, Artiodactyla, Camelidae. The record is from Rfam.
GGAGGCUACAGCUCAGUGUUAGAGUGUGUGCUUAGCAUGCAUGAGGUCCUGGGUUCAAUCCCCAGUACCUCCA